RNAcentral lists this ribosomal RNA (301 nucleotides) under uncultured bacterium. Its description in RNAcentral is "partial 16S ribosomal RNA". It matches the Rfam family "Bacterial small subunit ribosomal RNA", at positions 509 to 808 of the family's 1533-position model. The record is from RNAcentral.
CAGUCGCCGCGGUAAUACAGAGGGUGCAAGCGUUAAUCGGAAUUACUGGGCGUAAAGCGCGCGUAGGUGGUUUGUUAAGUUGGAUGUGAAAUCCCCGGGCUCAACCUGGGAACUGCAUCCAAAACUGGCAAGCUAGAGUAUGGUAGAGGGUGGUGGAAUUUCCUGUGUAGCGGUGAAAUGCGUAGAUAUAGGAAGGAACACCAGUGGCAAAGGCGACCACCUGGACUGAUACUGACACUGAGGUGCGAAAGCGUGGGGAGCAAACAGGAUUAGAUACCCCGGUAGUCCCUGUCUCUUAACA